Molecule: small nucleolar RNA, 81 nt
Organism: Amaranthus tricolor (Joseph's coat)
Lineage: Eukaryota; Viridiplantae; Streptophyta; Magnoliopsida; Caryophyllales; Amaranthaceae
Product: small nucleolar RNA R21
Exons: 1
Source: RefSeq, a predicted model, not a curated record
UAUCCCUAUGAAGAAUGAUUUAUGUCCAAAGUUAAAGUAGUGGGCUGAUACAUCCUUGAUGAUGAAUACUUCUGAGGGAUU